Molecule: ribosomal RNA, 467 nt
Filed under: uncultured bacterium
Lineage: Bacteria
Description: partial 16S ribosomal RNA
Rfam family: Bacterial small subunit ribosomal RNA
Source: RNAcentral
GACGAACGCUGGCGGCGUGCUUAACACAUGCAAGUCGAACGGAAAGGCCUCUUUCGGGGGGUACUCGAGUGGCGAACGGGUGAGUAACACGUGAGUAACCUGCCCUUGACUUUGGGAUAACUUCAGGAAACUGGGGCUAAUACCGGAUAGGAGCUCCUGCUGCAUGGUGGGGGUUGGAAAGUUUCGGCGGUUGGGGAUGGACUCGCGGCUUAUCAGCUUGUUGGUGGGGUAGUGGCUUACCAAGGCUUUGACGGGUAGCCGGCCUGAGAGGGUGACCGGCCACAUUGGGACUGAGAGACGGCCCAGACUCCGACGGGAGGCAGCAGUGGGGAAUAUUGCACCAUGGGUGGAAGCCUGAUGCAGCAACGCCGUGUGCGGGAUGACGGCCUUCGGGUUGUAAACCGCUUUCGCUCAUGACGAAGCUUUGUGUGACGGUAGUGGGUAAAGAAGCACCGGCUAACUACGUG